UGCCGCGUGCAGGAUGACAUGCCCUACUGGGUUGUAAACUGUCUUUUAUACAGGAAUAAACCGACGGACGUGUACCUUGUUGUAUGUACCGUACGAAUAAGGAUCGGCUAACUCCGUGCCAGCAGCCGCGGUAAUACGGAGGAUCCGAGCGUUAUCCGGAUUUAUUGGGUUUAAAGGGUCCGUAGGCGGACUUAUAAUUCAGUGGUGAAAGUUUGUCGCUCAACUCUACAAGUGCCCUUGAUACUGUACUUCUUGAGUAUAUUUGAGGUAAGGGGAAUGGAUUUUGUAGCGGUGAAAUGCAUAGAUUUUACUUGCAACACAAAUUGCGAAGGCAGGUUACUCCCCUGGGACUGACGCUGAGGCACGAAAGCGUGGGGAUCGAACAGGAUUAGAUACCCUGGUAGUCCACGCCGUAAACGAUGAUUACUCGCUGUUUGCCAUAUACUGUCUGAGUCCAAGCGAAAGCGAUAAGUUGCCACCUGGGGAGUACGCUCGCAAG
RNAcentral lists this ribosomal RNA (499 nucleotides) under bacterium. Its description in RNAcentral is "bacterial SSU rRNA". It matches the Rfam family "Bacterial small subunit ribosomal RNA", at positions 395 to 892 of the family's 1533-position model. The record is from RNAcentral.